CAGGACGAACGCUGGCGGCGUGCCUAAUACAUGCAAGUCGAACGCACUGACGUCGACAGAAGGUGCUUGCACUGGAAGUUGAUUGACGUGAGUGGCGGACGGGUGAGUAACACGUGGGUAACCUGCCCUUAAGCGGGGGAUAACAUUUGGAAACAGAUGCUAAUACCGCAUAAAAGUUGAGAUCACAUGGUCUUAAUUUGAAAGACGGCCUUUGGCUGUCACUUAAGGAUGGACCCGCGGCGUAUUAGCUAGUUGGUGAGAUAAUAGCCCACCAAGGCGAUGAUACGUAGCCGACCUGAGAGGGUAAUCGGCCACAUUGGGACUGAGACACGGCCCAAACUCCUACGGGAGGCAGCAGUAGGGAAUCUUCCACAAUGGACAAAAGUCUGAUGGAGCAACGCCGCGUGAGUGAAGAAGGUUUUCGGAUCGUAAAACUCUGUUGUUGGAGAAGAACAGGGACUAGAGUAACUGUUAGUCCUUUGACGGUAUCCAACCAGAAAGCCACGGCUAACUACGUGCCAGCAGCCGCGGUAAUACGUAGGUGGCAAGCGUUGUCCGGAUUUAUUGGGCGUAAAGCGAGCGCAGGCGGUUUCUUAAGUCUGAUGUGAAAGCCUUCGGCUUAACCGAAGAAGUGCACCAGAUACUGGGAAACUUGAGUGCAGAAGAGGAAAGUGGAACUCCAUGUGUAGCGGUGAAAUGCGUAGAUAUAUGGAAGAACACCAGUGGCGAAGGCGGCUUUCUGGUCUGUAACUGACGCUGAGGCUCGAAAGUAUGGGGAGCGAACAGGAUUAGAUACCCUGGUAGUCCAUACCGUAAACGAUGAAUGCUAAGUGUUGGAGGGUUUCCGCCCUUCAGUGCUGCAGCUAACGCAUUAAGCAUUCCGCCUGGGGAGUACGACCGCAAGGUUGAAACUCAAAGGAAUUGACGGGGGCCCGCACAAGCGGUGGAGCAUGUGGUUUAAUUCGAAGCUACGCGAAGAACCUUACCAGGUCUUGACAUCUAGCGCCAAUCCUAGAGAUAGGACGUUCCCUUCGGGGACGCUAAGACAGGUGGUGCAUGGUUGUCGUCAGCUCGUGUCGUGAGAUGUUGGGUUAAGUCCCGCAACGAGCGCAACCCUUAUGAUUAGUUGCCAGCAUUUAAUUGGGCACUCUAAUCAGACUGCCGGUGACAAAC
This 1173-nucleotide ribosomal RNA is filed under the name uncultured bacterium. RNAcentral's name for it is "bacterial SSU rRNA". It matches the Rfam family "Bacterial small subunit ribosomal RNA", at positions 25 to 1163 of the family's 1533-position model. The record is from RNAcentral.